Molecule: long non-coding RNA, 2155 nt
Organism: Homo sapiens (human)
Lineage: Eukaryota; Metazoa; Chordata; Mammalia; Primates; Hominidae
Source: Ensembl
AACAUAUUGAAAUCUUUGGAAUUUUCAAUUCAAGACAUAAAGCAAUUACUAGCUUACGAUAAACAAAACAUUUCUGAAGAUUAUCUCCAAGGCCCUGAAAGGUCUGGCUGCUUCCUAUCUUUCCAGUCUCAUCUGGAAUGAUGCUUGCAGGAUUUCCAGCAUGUAAGAUGUGCCUUUCAUCUUCUGUCAUGAUUAUGAGGCCUCCCCAGCCACACAGAACUGUGAGUCCAUUAAAGGCUCUGUCUUCAUCAGCAGCGUGAAAAUGGACUAACACAGUAAAUUGGUACCAGUAGAGUGGGGAGCUGCUGAAAAGAUACCCAAAAAUGUGGAAGUGACUUUGAAACUGGGUAACAGGCAGGCAGAGGUAGGAACAGUUGGAGGGCUCAGAAAAAGAUAGGAAAAUGUGCGAAAGUUUGGAAAUCCCUAGAGACUUGUUGAAUGGCUUUGACCAAAAUGCUGAUAAUGAUAUGGACAAUGAAAUCUAGGCUGAGAUGCUGAGAUGGUCUCAGGUGGAGAUAAGGAACUUGUUGGGAACUGAAGCAAAGGUGACUCAUUAUAUUUUAGCAAAGUGACUGGUGGCAUUUUGUCCCUGCCCUUUUUUGAGAUUUGUCUGACUUUGAACUUGAGAGAGAGAACUUAGGGUAUCUGGCAGAAGAUAUUUCUAAGCAACAAAGCAUUCAAGUGGUGACUUGGGUGCUGUUAAAGGCAUUCAGUUUUAUAAGGGAAGCACAGCAUAAAAGUUUGAAAAAUUUGCAGCCUGACAAUGUAAUGUAAAAGAAAAUCCCAUUUUCUGAGGAGAAAUUCAAGCCGGCUGCAGAAAUUUGCAUAAGUAACAAGGAGCCAAAUGUUAAUCCCCAAGACACUAUGGGGAGAAUGUCUCCAGGGAAUAUCAGAGACCUUUACAACAGCCCCUCCCAUCACAAACCUGGAGGCCUGGGAGGCAAAAAUGGUUUCAUGGGCUGGGCCUAUGGUCCCUCUGCUGUGUACAGUCUAGGGACUUGGUGCCCUGCAUCUCUGCCACUCCAGCUGUGACUAAAAGGGGCCAAAGUACAGCUUGGGCCAUGGCUUCAGAGGGUGCAAGUCCCAAGGCUUGGCAGCUUCCAUGUGGUGUUGAGCCUGUGGGUGCACAAAAGUCAAGAAUUGAGGUUUGGGAACCUCCGCCUAGAUUUCAGAGGAUGUAUGGAAACGCCUGGAUGUCCAGGCAGACAUUUGUUGCAGGAGCAGACACUGAUGGAGAACCUCUGCUAGGGCAGUGCAGUAGGGAAAUGUGGGGUGGGCACCCCCACACAGAGUCCUCAUUGGGGCACUGCCUAGUGGAGCUGUGAGAAGAGGGCCGCCGUUCUCCAGAUCCCUGAAUGGUAGAUCCACCAACAGCUUGCACCCUGCACAUGGAAAAUCCACAGACCCUCCAUGCCAGCCCAUGAAAGCAGCCAGAAGAGAGGCUGUACCCCACAAAGCCAUAGAAGUGGAGCUGCCCAAGACCAUGGGAAUCUACCUCUUGCAACAGCAUGACCCAGAUGUGAGACAUAGAGUCAAAGGAGGCCAUUUUGGACCUUCAAGAUUUAACUGCCCUGCUGGAUUUCAGACUUGCAUGAGGCCUUUAGCCCCUUUGCUUUGGCCAAUUUCUUCCAUUUGGAAUAGCUGUAUUUACCCAAUGCCUCUACCCCCAUUUUAUCUAGGAAGUAACUAACUUGCUUUUGAUCUUACAGGCUCACAGGUGGAAGGGACUUGCUUUGUCUUAGAUAAGACUUUGGACUGUGGACUUUUGAGUUAAUACUGAAAUGAGUUAAGACUUUGGGGGACUGUUGGAAUGGCAUGAUUUGUUUUGAAAUGUGAAGAUAUGAGAUUUGGAAGGGGCCAAGUGUGGAAUCAUAGGGUUUGCCUGUGUCCUCACCCAAAUCUCAUCUUGAAUUGUAGCUCCCAUAAUUCCCUUGAGUUGUGGGAGGGACCAAGUGGGAGACAAUUGAAUCAAGGGGGUGGUUCCCCCAUACUGUUCUCAUGGUGGUGAAUAAGUCUCAUGAGAUCUGAUGGUUUUAUAAGGGGAAACCCCUUUCGCUUGGUUUUCAUUCUCUUCUCUUGUCUGCUGCCAUGUGAGAUGUGCCUUUCAUCUCCCACCAUGAUUGUGAGGCCUCUCCAGCCACAUGGAAUUGUAAGU